UACGUAGGUGGCAAGCGUUGUCCGGAUUUAUUGGGCGUAAAGCGCGCGCAGGUGGUGCGGUAAGUCUGCCGUGAAAUCUCCCGGCUCAACUGGGAGGGGGCGGUGGAGACUGCCGGACUGGAGGGACUCAGAGGCCGGUGGAAUUCCCGGUGUAGUGGUGAAAUGCGUAGAGAUCGGGAGGAACACCAGUGGCGAAGGCGGCCGGCUGGGGGUGCCCUGACGCUGAGGCGCGAAAGCGUGGGGAGCGAACCGG
RNAcentral lists this ribosomal RNA (253 nucleotides) under uncultured bacterium. RNAcentral's name for it is "partial 16S ribosomal RNA". It matches the Rfam family "Bacterial small subunit ribosomal RNA", at positions 524 to 776 of the family's 1533-position model. The record is from RNAcentral.